AGGCCACUUGGUCCAGGGAUGUGGCUUCAGCAAGCAUUUGGGUGCCUCCUCUGUGUUCAGGACAUGGGGACUCCGGGAGACUGAAGGAAGCAAGUGGCAAUGUCCAUGCCGUCAAGUUCUGUGACAGAAAUAAGCAGGAGCAAGUGAAAGAUAGGAGAGAAGCUCUGUGACGGGUGGCAUUCAAGCUUAGCUUCUGGGCAGGAAGAGGCAGCUAUGUCAGCAUUCCCUAACAAGCCCAGCCCUGGAAGGUGGAAGAAGAAAAGUUGACAUGGAAUGUUUGGGAAGCACCGCUGGUCCAGGUCCAGGAUCGGGGCAGCCAGCAUGUCCUCUAAUCUGGCCUCACUGUUGAAAUCCAGUCGAGCAGGACCCACUGACUGAUGAUGGCUCCACCUGGACCUGCCAACUACUCCUGCAGCCCCACCCAGAAGCGGUUCAGCACACGGGAGGAUCCUGUCUCACACCCUACGAUGGCCCCCUGCCCCCGCAACCCAUCAGCAGCAAGCACCCACUGCCAAGCUACCCCACCCCUUCCCCCAAACUACCUCUGGAAAACCCUAGUCCCCAAAUUCUUGGGGAGACUGAUUUCAGUAAUCAUCAAAUUCUGGUCUCCCAUUCACUUGUCUCUGUGUGAAUUAAACCCUUUCUCUAUUGCAGUUUCCCUACCUUGAUACACGGGCUCCAUCUGAGCAAGAAGAAUCCACUGGGUGGAUACAGUAUGAAGCCAGUUUUCCCAAGGGCUUUGAUGGGCACUAUAGGUCAACUCUGAUUCCUUAAAGCCGUCUGUUUAUAUUUGAAAGCAUGCCAUUCCAGUCAAAGCCUUGG
RNAcentral lists this long non-coding RNA (822 nucleotides) under Pan troglodytes (chimpanzee). Its description in RNAcentral is "long non-coding RNA NONPTRT006453". The record is from RNAcentral. Lineage: Eukaryota; Metazoa; Chordata; Mammalia; Primates; Hominidae.